GAUGAACGCUGGCGGCGUGCCUAAUACAUGCAAGUCGAGCGAACGGACGAGAAGCUUGCUUCUCUGAUGUUAGCGGCGGACGGGUGAGUAACACGUGGAUAACCUACCUAUAAGACUGGGAUAACUUCGGGAAACCGGAGCUAAUACCGGAUAAUAUUUUGAACCGCAUGGUUCAAAAGUGGAAGACGGUCUUGCUGUCACUUAUAGAUGGAUCCGCGCUGCAUUAGCUAGUUGGUAAGGUAACGGCUUACCAAGGCAACGAUGCAUAGCCGACCUGAGAGGGUGAUCGGCUACACUGGAACUGAGACACGGUCCAGACUCCUACGGGAGGCAGCAGUAGGGAAUCUUCCGCAAUGGGCGAAAGCCUGACGGAGCAACGCCGCGUGAGUGAUGAAGGUCUUCGGAUCGUAAAACUCUGUUAUUAGGGAAGAACAUAUGUGUAAGUAACUGUGCACAUCUUGACGGUACCUAAUCAGAAAGCCACGGCUAACUACGUG
Molecule: ribosomal RNA, 497 nt
Filed under: uncultured bacterium
Lineage: Bacteria
Description: partial 16S ribosomal RNA
Rfam family: Bacterial small subunit ribosomal RNA
Source: RNAcentral